Molecule: ribosomal RNA, 253 nt
Filed under: uncultured bacterium
Lineage: Bacteria
Description: partial 16S ribosomal RNA
Rfam family: Bacterial small subunit ribosomal RNA
Source: RNAcentral
UACGUAGGUGGCAAGCGUUGUCCGGAAUUACUGGGCGUAAAGGGUGCGCAGGCGGUAACUUAAGUCGGAUGUGAAAACUAGAGGCUAAACCACUAGAUUGCAUUUGAAACUGGGUUGCUUGAGUGCAGGAGAGGGCAGUGGAAUUCCUAGUGUAGCGGUGAAAUGCGUAGAUAUUAGGAGGAACACCAGUGGCGAAGGCGGCUGCCUGGACUGUAACUGACGCUGAGGCACGAAAGCGUGGGGAGCGAACAGG